CAGUAGCCGCGGUAAUACGUAGGUGGCAAGCGUUGUCCGGAAUUAUUGGGCGUAAAGCGCGCGCAGGUGGUUUCUUAAGUCUGAUGUGAAAGCCCCCGGCUCAACCGGGGAGGGUCAUUGGAAACUGGGAAACUUGAGUGCAGAAGAGGAGAGUGGAAUUCCACGUGUAGCGGUGAAAUGCGUAGAGAUGUGGAGGAACACCAGUGGCGAAGGCGACUCUCUGGUCUGUAACUGACGCUGAGGAGCGAAAGCGUGGGGAGCGAACAGGAUUAGAUACCCCCGUAGUCCCUGUCUCUUAUAC
Molecule: ribosomal RNA, 301 nt
Filed under: uncultured bacterium
Lineage: Bacteria
Description: partial 16S ribosomal RNA
Rfam family: Bacterial small subunit ribosomal RNA
Source: RNAcentral